AGGAUGAACGCUGGCGGUCUGCUUAACACAUGCAAGUCGAACGGAGUACCUCGGUACUUAGUGGCGGACGGGUGAGUAACGCGUGAGAAUCUGCCCUUAGGUCGGGGACAACCAUUGGAAACGAUGGCUAAUACCGGAUAAGCCGAGAGGUAAAAGAUUAAUUGCCUAGGGAAGAGCUCGCGUCUGAUUAGCUAGUUGGUGAGGUAAAGGCUCACCAAGGCAUCGAUCAGUAGCUGGUCUGAGAGGAUGAUCAGCCACACUGGGACUGAGACACGGCCCAGACUCCUACGGGAGGCAGCAGUGGGGAAUUUUCCGCAAUGGGCGAAAGCCUGACGGAGCAAGACCGCGUGAGGGAGGAAGGCUCUUGGGUUGUAAACCUCUUUUCUGGGGAAGAACAAAUGACGGUACCCAAGGAAUCAGCAUCGGCUAACUCCGUGCCAGCAGCCGC
Molecule: ribosomal RNA, 448 nt
Filed under: uncultured bacterium
Lineage: Bacteria
Description: SSU rRNA
Rfam family: Bacterial small subunit ribosomal RNA
Source: RNAcentral